AGCAGUGAAUCUGAGGCUUGUAAAAACAGGUGGAAGUUUACUAAGCGAAAUCUACUCGCAUAGAGUCAACCAUCGUUCUAUGGCGGGCAAUGCUGUCGUUGUGGAACUCACAGGAGGAGAAGAAGUGUAUGUAGUGGUCUACAAAGAAACGAAUUUCUUGGUUGGUGGAUCGCGUGAAGUGUAUUGCACAUUUUCGGGUCAUCUUCUUUAUGCAGCUCAACCGGAUGAGAUUGUGGGUUAAACGUAUUAUUUGAGUUUGACGAGGUUGAAUAAAUUCAACUUCUAGAAAGACA
Molecule: long non-coding RNA, 293 nt
Organism: Mya arenaria
Lineage: Eukaryota; Metazoa; Mollusca; Bivalvia; Myida; Myidae
Exons: 2
Source: RefSeq, a predicted model, not a curated record